RNAcentral lists this ribosomal RNA (426 nucleotides) under uncultured bacterium. RNAcentral's name for it is "bacterial SSU rRNA". It matches the Rfam family "Bacterial small subunit ribosomal RNA", at positions 355 to 772 of the family's 1533-position model. The record is from RNAcentral.
UGGGGAAUAUUGGACAAUGGGGGCAACCCUGAUCCAGCAAUGCCGCGUGAGUGAAGAAGGCCUUCGGGUUGUAAAGCUCUUUUGUCCGGGAAGAAAUCCCAUCUGUUAAUACCGGGUGGGGAUGACGGUACUGGAAGAAUAAGCACCGGCUAACUAUGUGCCAGCAGCCGCGGUAAUACGGGGGGAGCAAGCGUUGUUCGGAUUUACUGGGCGUAAAGGGCGCGUAGGCGGCCACCGCAAGUCGACUGUGAAAUCUCUGGGCUUAACCCAGAACGGUCAGCCGAUACUGCGGGGCUAGAGUGCAGAAGGGGCAACUGGAAUUCUCGGUGUAGCGGUGAAAUGCGUAGAUAUCGAGAGGAACACCUGCGGCGAAGGCGGGUUGCUGGGCUGACACUGACGCUGAGGCGCGAAAGCUAGGGGAGCGAA